AAGGUGGAUGAUGAUGUUAUAAAAAUCGACGUGCAUGUGCCGAAAGAAUAUAUAAAACUUGUAGUGGGCAAAGGACAUAAGAAUAUAGAGAGAGCCGAAACGAAAUCCGGAACAAAAAUCAAAGUGCCCUCUCCCCGAAAUGCUGAAGGUACGUUAGAAUCGUUUCACAUUUUAAGGGAUAAACGUUUUGUUUGCAUGUUAAUCUAGAAUGCUUUUAGUCGGUUGUUAGAAAUUUCGGUAGCAUUUAUGUCAGCAAGGAGUUUCACCUUCCAAAUUUUUGGCGGAACAUUUUUACUGUAAGAGAUAUUUUUGCCCGCUACUCUAUUUCGAGUAAUUGGAUACAAAGCACGAGGUUUCCUUAAUUCAGCCCCAUUCGGGCUAAUUAGUUGUUCUGGACUGGGACUUAUUAGAAUUGGGGCGGGGGGAGGGCUAAAUAGAGGAAACACUGUAGGCACACAAGUGAGCCAUUUCUAUAUAAAGAAGAUAUGAAAGGGGCUUUCAUGCUGCCUUCUUUGUGCGUUGCAUUUUUCAGGUUUUCCUCCUUAAUUGCCUAAAAUAAUACAAGAAGCAAACGUUUAAUAUACAAUUUAAUGUUUUCAUCGCCUUUUGUAUAAACAAUUUGUACAAAUUGUACAAUCAAUUUGUAUCCUAUAUCCAAUAUAGUAAUUUAAUUCACACCACAAACAUAUUUCAACAACAACACCAACUACAGCCAACGACAAUGAAAAUUAACUUUAUUGAAAUAAACGAUUUAAUUAUAUAUACAAUUCUAGUCUCUAUCAUUUAGGUGAUUUAAAUUUUAGUAUAGGUAAUCAUGCGAUGUUGCUCGUACAAUUAGGGAUUAAUAGUACUCGUGAUGUUUGGAAAUUUGCCAAAUUGGACUCGCCCGCCGUACUUGUUUAUUAUUAGCAUGACAAAAUUGGAUACUUCUCAAUGUCAACAUCAUAUUCUCUCGCCAAAGCCCAGUCCUGCCAGACAUUCAACCAAAAUUUGGUGCUUUUGUUUGUAUUUCCAUUUAGUUCUUUUGUUAAAGCAAAAUUUGGUGCUUUUCUUCGUAUUUUCAUCUGGUUCCUCCACUGCAAUUUCAUUUCACAUUUGUGUAUAAAAUACCUUUCCGCCAUUUUGUUUGUUUUUGGAAAAUCAUUAAUUGUACUGCAGUACAAUUAAUGAAAUAAUUGUACUCCUCUCAACCAAUCAGCGUCCAGUAAUUUUGUCAUGCUAAUAAUAAGCCAUGUAAUAGAUAACUUAUUGACAGAGCUUGUUCGGUUCAGACAGUAGGAUAUGUAGAAUAUUUGUUUCUGGACCGAGCCUUAGGUGAGGUCCAUAUACAACAGAAAAGCACUACCCGUCAAGGAAACUUGCCAUUCUGUGACGACAAAUAACGUGGUAGGAAGCUAUGAAAUACGGUUCCUCGGAUAUCCUUGUCGGGUGCCUUGUCUGUGAGUUUGUAUAUUUUGCUACCACUAUUUCGGCACCAAAAUAUCAAUACCAUGAUAAGGUUUUGCUUCUGCACCACCUCCCAUCUCACUGAUCUACUGCAUUUCAUGCUGAUCAACUGCAUCUCUUUGAGGACAAGGAUUGGUGAGCAUCGGCCUUCAGCCAUUGGCAAUGAUGCUAAUCAGCCUGUCGGUUCAAUUCGAGCCCUCGCCUCCUUACCUUACCUUACCUUACCUCACCUCACCUCACCUCACCUCACCUCAACGCGCCUCGCCUUGCCUUAUCUUGUCUUGUCUUGUCUUCAAAAUUACUUUAUACCACAACUUGUUUUCACUAACAAAAUUUAGCUCAACGUGGAGAUACAAUCAAAUUGGAAAUUACUGGAACAGCCAAAAAUUGCGCCCGAGCCGAACUGCUCCUCAAAAAUGGCGUCGUAAGUUUUUUCUGUCCAUACCUGCAUAUGAAAUUAAAGUUUUAUAACAUUCUCAUCAUAGUACAAGAUAGCAUAAUAAAUUUAAAUUUGCAAUUGUAGAUUUCCUUAAAGGACAAAUUUUUGGGAAAUGAAUUUGAAGGCAAUAUUCAUUUUGUUUGCGUCGCUUUUAAACAUGAAAAUGAAGAGUUUCGCUUGACACCAGGUGCAAGUGCUCCUAAACUGGAUAAUUUCAUUAAAGGUCAGAGAUAUAGAAUUGAAACCGAGAUGGACGAUGAUGACUCCCAGGUAACGUCAAUGUAACAAGAAAUUAAC
Molecule: long non-coding RNA, 2182 nt
Filed under: Paramuricea clavata
Lineage: Eukaryota; Metazoa; Cnidaria; Anthozoa; Malacalcyonacea; Plexauridae
Source: RNAcentral